RNAcentral lists this ribosomal RNA (924 nucleotides) under uncultured archaeon. RNAcentral's name for it is "bacterial SSU rRNA". It matches the Rfam family "Archaeal small subunit ribosomal RNA", at positions 1 to 922 of the family's 1478-position model. The record is from RNAcentral.
UUCCGGUUGAUCCCGCCGGAGGCCACUGCUAUGGGGGUCCGACUAAGCCAUGCGAGUCAUGGGGCGCGCUCUGCGCGCACCGGCGGACGGCUCAGUAACACGUCGGUAACCUACCCUCGGGAGGGGGAUAACCCCGGGAAACUGGGGCUAAUCCCCCAUAGGCCUGGGGUACUGGAAGGUCCCCAGGCCGAAAGGGCGUAAGCCGCCCGAGGAUGGGCCGGCGGCCGAUUAGGUAGUUGGUGGGGUAACGGCCCACCAAGCCGAAGAUCGGUACGGGCCAUGAGAGUGGGAGCCCGGAGAUGGACACUGAGACACGGGUCCAGGCCCUACGGGGCGCAGCAGGCGCGAAACCUCCGCAAUGCGGGAAACCGCGACGGGGGGACCCCCAGUGCCGUGGCAACGCCACGGCUUUUCCGGAGUGUAAAAAGCUCCGGGAAUAAGGGCUGGGCAAGGCCGGUGGCAGCCGCCGCGGUAAUACCGGCGGCCCAAGUGGUGGCCGCUAUUAUUGGGCCUAAAGCGUCCGUAGCCGGGCCCGUAAGUCCCUGGCGAAAUCCCACGGCUCAACCGUGGGGCUUGCUGGGGAUACUGCGGGCCUUGGGACCGGGAGAGGCCGGGGGUACCCCUGGGGUAGGGGCGAAGUCCUGUAAUCCCAGGGGGACCGCCAGUGGCGAAGGCGCCCGGCUGGAACGGGUCCGACGGUGAGGGACGAAGGCCAGGGGAGCGAACCGGAUUAGAUACCCGGGUAGUCCUGGCUGUAAAGGAUGCGGGCUAGGUGUCGGGCGAGCUUCGAGCUCGCCCGGUGCCGAAGGGAAGCCGUUAAGCCCGCCGCCUGGGGAGUACGGCCGCAAGGCUGAAACUUAAAGGAAUUGGCGGGGGAGCACUACAAGGGGUGGAGCGUGCGGUUUAAUUGGAAUCAACGCCGGA